UUUCCAGGUCUCCUUUACAUGGAAGGAACAUUAAGAAAAGUGAGUCUCAUCCUCAUUUGUUGUAUUUUAAUGGAUUUUGUAAGCAAAAUCAUUGUGCGCGCAACAUUUCUGUUUCUCUAGGUGGCUGCUUGUUCCAGCCCAGCAAGCAGGAGCCACUGUGUCUGAAAAGAGGGGUCAUUGAACCAAUUAAACACUUGUGUGAAGCCUCAAUGAUCCCCGACACAUGGAACUACAAAGGAAAGAGAGUGAAAGACGUCCGCUUCGAUGCAAAAGGUAGAUUACCCCGAAACAGCUACACGGAACUGGUUGAUUAAGCUUUUUUGCUGCACUUUUUUUUAAUGUAGGCUAUUCUGUACAUAGCCUACAUGUCAGGGUGAGGACAUUAGACGUAGCAUAAUUAUUGUACAUUGUUGGUUCUCAACAGAGCCUGACAAUGACUGUGUUGUGAGCCACAUAAUCAGAUUGAGAGAAAAACUGGGCUGGUCCACUGAGAUUCCUGACAGGAGAAUAGCAAAAGCAUGCCCACAAAAUAUACAGGAAAUCCCUGAGGAGACUAAAAAGGAUCCUGGAGAGUAUGUGUACUGUCUGAUGAGGAACAGAGGUGACCUCAAGAUCCAGCCCAACCCCUAUGAUCUUCAGGUGGUUUCUGUCCAGACAGCUAAACAGAGCUGUCAGUACUGGACCGUUAGCGCUUCAUGCAUAUUCAAGGUCAGUUCAACUAGUUCACCGUUGAAUUAUUAAACGUUGGUUGAAAAUACAUAGGGUGCGUUAGUAAAUUCACUCUGGCUAUCUACUCUGAUUUCAGAGCACUAUCGUCUGAGUGUACCAGAGAGCAGAAUAACGGAUGAAUUUACGAACACUCAACACCCGUUGAAUAUGGCCGGUGUCAGUAAACGUCGGCAAAAAAGUGUAAUUAAAAUGUUGCCAGCAGAACAGUUCCUGUCACCAACGCUCUGGAUAACAUGAAAAUAGCUUAACCAGCUCUGCUAGGGCGAGUAAAAUGGUCAGAGUGAGAUUUUUCUCGCAUUUGUGUCUGGAAGUAGCUAGCAAGCUAGCCAACGUUAGCCAGUUAGCUUGGGUGCUUGACUGCCGUUGUGAGGACAGAACGUUCGGAUCAAC
RNAcentral lists this long non-coding RNA (1119 nucleotides) under Salmo trutta (river trout). Its description in RNAcentral is "lncRNA (ENSSTUG00000023402.1)". The record is from RNAcentral. Lineage: Eukaryota; Metazoa; Chordata; Actinopteri; Salmoniformes; Salmonidae.